RNAcentral lists this ribosomal RNA (424 nucleotides) under uncultured prokaryote. RNAcentral's name for it is "bacterial SSU rRNA". It matches the Rfam family "Bacterial small subunit ribosomal RNA", at positions 355 to 796 of the family's 1533-position model. The record is from RNAcentral.
UGGGGAAUCUUGGACAAUGGGCGCAAGCCUGAUCCAGCCAUGCCGCGUGAGUGAAGAAGGCCUUAGGGUCGUAAAGCUCUUUCACCGGUGAAGAUAAUGACGGUAGCCGGAGAAGAAGCCCCGGCUAACUCCGUGCCAGCAGCCGCGGUAAUACGGAGGGGGCUAGCGUUGUUCGGAAUUACUGGGCGUAAAGCGCGCGUAGGCGGGCUGUUAAGUCGGGGGUGAAAUCCCGGGGCUCAACCCCGGAACUGCCUUCGAUACUGGCAGCCUAGAGGUCUGGAGAGGCGAGUGGAAUUCCGAGUGUAGAGGUGAAAUUCGUAGAUAUUCGGAGGAACACCAGUGGCGAAGGCGGCUCGCUGGCCAGAUACUGACGCUGAGGUGCGAAAGCGUGGGGAGCAAACAGGAUUAGAUACCCCCGUAGUCC